RNAcentral lists this ribosomal RNA (521 nucleotides) under uncultured bacterium. Its description in RNAcentral is "bacterial SSU rRNA". It matches the Rfam family "Bacterial small subunit ribosomal RNA", at positions 501 to 1019 of the family's 1533-position model. The record is from RNAcentral.
CUACGUGCCAGCAGCCGCGGUAAUACGUAGGGUGCGAGCGUUGUCCGGAAUUACUGGGCGUAAAGAGCUCGUAGGUGGUUUGUUGCGUCGUCUGUGAAAUUCCGGGGCUUAACUUCGGGGUGGCAGGCGAUACGGGCAUAACUAGAGUGCUGUAGGGGAGACUGGAAUUCCUGGUGUAGCGGUGGAAUGCGCAGAUAUCAGGAGGAACACCGAUGGCGAAGGCAGGUCUCUGGGCAGUAACUGACGCUGAGGAGCGAAAGCAUGGGGAGCGAACAGGAUUAGAUACCCUGGUAGUCCAUGCUGUAAACGGUGGGCGUUAGGUGUGGGGACCGGUUUGGUUUCUGUGCCGUAGCUAACGCAUUAAGCGCCCCGCCUGGGGAGUACGGCCGCAAGGCUAAAACUCAAAGGAAUUGACGGGGGCCCGCACAAGCGGCGGAGCAUGUGGAUUAAUUCGAUGCAACGCGAAGAACCUUACCUGGGUUUGACAUGCACCAGACGGUUGUAGAGAUACGUACCUCCCU